Molecule: ribosomal RNA, 504 nt
Filed under: uncultured bacterium
Lineage: Bacteria
Description: bacterial SSU rRNA
Rfam family: Bacterial small subunit ribosomal RNA
Source: RNAcentral
AGAGUUUGAUCAUGGCUCAGAUUGAACGCUGGCGGCAUGCUUUACACAUGCAAGUCGAGCGGCAGCGCGGGGGCAACCCUGGCGGCGAGCGGCGGACGGGUGAGUAAUGCAUCGGAACGUAUCCCGUAGUGGGGGACAACCCAGCGAAAGCUGGGCUAAUACCGCAUAUGCUCUACGGAGGAAAGUGGGGGACCCGCAAGGGCCUCACGCUAUGGGAGCGGCCGAUGUCCGAUUAGCUAGUUGGUGGGGUAAAGGCCCACCAAGGCGACGAUCGGUAGCUGGUCUGAGAGGAUGAUCAGCCACACUGGGACUGAGACACGGCCCAGACUCCUACGGGAGGCAGCAGUGGGAAUUUGGACAAUGGGGGCAACCCUGAUCCAGCCAUGCCGCGUGCGGGAAGAAGGCCUUCGGGUUGUAAACCGCUUUUGGUCGGGAAGAAAAGGCGUCUCCUAAUACGGGGCGUUCUUGACGGUACCGGCAGAAUAAGCACCGGCUAACUACGUG